CUUUGGUUCCCUAUGGUAGGAAUCUUCUUACUCCCACCUUUAAGAAUUCACUGACACAGAACUUCUCCCCCAGAAUUCGGAUAACAAGCUAGAAUGAUGUAAGAAAACUGACAAAGAUUUCAAGGAACCAAGACGGCAGUAUUGAAAAGAUUGUACGGUUUACUUGAAACCUAGAAGUAAGAAAAAUUUAAAAGAAGGUAGUGUCUGCACAGUAAAAACAAACCAU
Molecule: long non-coding RNA, 226 nt
Organism: Lutra lutra (Eurasian river otter)
Lineage: Eukaryota; Metazoa; Chordata; Mammalia; Carnivora; Mustelidae
Exons: 3
Source: RefSeq, a predicted model, not a curated record